AGAAACACCAAAAUAUAAAAUCACAUUCUAUCAGUCUGCCAAUUCUAUCAGAAUAAAAGUAACUAAAAUAUAACUAACGUUUGUCAGAGUUAACUGUUAUCUCUAGAACUAAACGGCAAUAAUUCAAAUGAUAAAAAAAAUAACCGUGUUAAAAUAUAUUAUAUUUUCUUAAAUAGUACACAUUUUUACGAUACAUUUAUAAUGACAAAAAACCAACUAGUUCAUAUGACGACAACGAUAAUUAUUGUAUGAUGGUAGUUGUCUGAAGUCAUAAAAAGCUUAUCGGUAUGCUUAUUCAUUAGAGCGGUUCGAUUCCUGAAACUAUCUCUAGUCUGAUUAAGUGUGGUAACAGUUUUAAGAUGAGUCAAAGAUUCUGGUUGAACAGUUCUCCAUCGACACUAACUGGAAGAAAUAAUUGUUUUAUCAUUUGUCUAAAUAGAUUAGCUAGAAUGUGACCAGAGGAAGAUUAAAUGGACAUAUCAUAUAUUUCUCCAUGGACACUGUAAUCCAUAGACGGAUUUUUGACACUAUAUUUGAAUAUUUGUUGUUGAAGUUAAUUGGAUUUUGUGCAAAACCCCUGGAAGAAUAUUCUGUAUCAGACUAACAUUAUAAAAACCACCCAGUAUUUCUGUUUACCUGCUGUUAGACAUCGUAGUAUCAUCUCCAAUCUCUUUAUAUUUUGUUUAAUUUUAUUUAAAAAAGUCUCAUUAUAAUUUAUUAUUAAUCAACUGUAAUUCAGUUGUUUAUUUAUUGAAUAACUUAUUAUCCUGUCUUCAACGUCCAUAUAAACUGUACUGUAUUUAUGACCACUACACUGAUA
Adelges cooleyi (spruce gall adelgid) is the source of this 820-nucleotide long non-coding RNA. RefSeq lists it as uncharacterized. NCBI's taxonomy places the organism in Eukaryota, Metazoa, Arthropoda, Insecta, Hemiptera, Adelgidae. The record is from RefSeq and is a predicted model, not a curated record. The transcript has 4 exons.